UUAUGAUUCCAUAGUCACACAAUGUGCAUCCAUCAUAUGCUAACUUGGGUCCAACCUUGUUACCAGACAUUCUUGACCAUUUUGGUCCUACCUCCUUUCUAAGCCUAGUAGAUCUUGAUCUUGUGGUCGGUCGAUGCUGACCCAAGAAUCCUUACUCUAGUCAAACUUUGUCACCGUGGUAGACCUCAGUUUCUUUCUAACUCUAAUAUUAAUCCUCACCGCUGAAUAAGGUUUAUAUUAAGUCACAUGCACACAAAUAGACAAACCAAUGACAUAUAUAUCACAACCUGACCCUUAUU
RNAcentral lists this long non-coding RNA (299 nucleotides) under Oryza brachyantha (malo sina). RNAcentral's name for it is "long non-coding RNA (OBRA_LNC002624)". The record is from RNAcentral. Lineage: Eukaryota; Viridiplantae; Streptophyta; Magnoliopsida; Poales; Poaceae.